RNAcentral lists this ribosomal RNA (467 nucleotides) under uncultured bacterium. RNAcentral describes it as "partial 16S ribosomal RNA". It matches the Rfam family "Bacterial small subunit ribosomal RNA", at positions 28 to 507 of the family's 1533-position model. The record is from RNAcentral.
GACGAACGCUGGCGGCGUGCUUAACACAUGCAAGUCGAACGGAAAGGCCCUGCUUUUGUGGGGUGCUCGAGUGGCGAACGGGUGAGUAACACGUGAGUACCUGCCCUUUACUUUGGGAUAACGUUAGGAAACUGGGGCUAAUACCGGAUAGGGGCUCCUGCUGCAUGGUGGGGGGUGGAAAGUUUCGGCGGUUGGGGAUGGACUCGCGGCUUAUCAGCUUGUUGGUGGGGGAGUGGCUUACCAAGGCUUUGACGGGGAGCCGGCCUGAGAGGGUGACCGGCCACAUUGGGACUGAGAUACGGCCCAGACUCCUACGGGAGGCAGCAGUGGGGAAUAUUGCACAAUGGGCGGAAGCCUGAUGCAGCAACGCCGCGUGCGGGAUGACGGCCUUCGGGUUGUAAACCGCUUUCGCCUGUGACGAAGCGUGAGUGACGGUAAUGGGUAAAGAAGCACCGGCUAACUACGUG